UACGUAGGGUGCGAGCGUUGUCCGGAAUUAUUGGGCGUAAAGAGCUCGUAGGCGGCCUGUCGCGUCGGUUGUGAAAGCCCGGGGCUUAACCCCGGGUCUGCAGUCGAUACGGGCAGGCUAGAGUUCGGUAGGGGAGAUCGGAAUUCCUGGUGUAGCGGUGAAAUGCGCAGAUAUCAGGAGGAACACCGGUGGCGAAGGCGGCAUCCUGGACCAUUACUGACGCUGAGGCGCGAAAGCUAGGGGAGCAAACGGG
This 253-nucleotide ribosomal RNA is filed under the name uncultured bacterium. RNAcentral's name for it is "partial 16S ribosomal RNA". It matches the Rfam family "Bacterial small subunit ribosomal RNA", at positions 524 to 776 of the family's 1533-position model. The record is from RNAcentral.